Molecule: ribosomal RNA, 254 nt
Filed under: uncultured bacterium
Lineage: Bacteria
Description: partial 16S ribosomal RNA
Rfam family: Bacterial small subunit ribosomal RNA
Source: RNAcentral
UACGAAGGGGGCUAGCGUUACUCGGAAUUAUUGGGCGUAAAGCGUGCGUAGGCGGUUAUGUAAGUUGGGAGUGAAAGCCCAGGGCUCAACCUUGGAAUUGCUUUCAAAACUACGUAACUUGAGUAUUGGAGAGGAUAGUGGAAUUCCUAGUGUAGAGGUGAAAUUCGUAGAUAUUAGGAGGAACACCAGUUGCGAAAGCGGCUAUCUGGCCAAAUGACUGACGCUGUUGCACGAAAGCGUGGGGAGCAAACAGG